AGUACUAUUGCUAUCAUUUGCAGCUUAUCUGAAUCAUUCACACUACACUAUUUCCCGAUGAAUAUUCUUUGGAUGAUACAUUGGACAAUAUUUUCAACCCAAUAAUGGAAGGAAUAUGAAUAAAUAGGAUCCAAUUAUUUUAUGGUAUUCUCAUUGUUUUAUUUCUGUGCAAUAUGCAUCACUUACUGAGAAAACAAUAGCUAUAUAUGUAUUAAUGCAUUUACGUAUGUUAAUGUGUGUCUGCGUGUAGAAAAUGCUCACAUGCAUAUAAUCCCCAAGAAUCUUUAGAAUCUUGGACUUGAUGAGCAAUGAAAUAUAUUCUCAGGUCUUGACUAAUUUUACCAAAAACCAAGUGGAUGUUUACGUUAAUUAUGACUGGAGCAACAACUUAAAUCAAUUAUAUUUGAAAUAUUCAUACAGUUAAUCAUUCGUCUCUUUUGUUAUUUAUAUUUUACCAUAACUGCAAAAAAAAUCUACAUUGAUAGCACAUUUUAAUAGCAUGUUUUACUAAACUGCUAUCGUAGAUGAUUAAGAAAUUUUCAUAUUAUAUCAUAGCGUUAGAUAAAUGCUAUAAUAUAAUUAAACGCUACGAUAAAGUUUCAACAAGCAGGAACCUAAAACUAAAUUUUACCUUAAUGAAAAUCACUAAACUAAUCAUUAUCCUUCUCCUAACUCUCAUUUUCCCACCCUCAACUCUCGCCUAAACCACCUAAACCCUAUCUUUGUUAUUCCCUUUCCUUUCUAGGGUCUGAGUCUGAGACACGAGUGCACAAAAAAAGAAAAAAAAAAAGGGUCCGAGACAUGAGAGACAGAAGAGAAGGGAGAAGAGACGAAACAGGGAUAGAGAGGAGACAGAGCUCGGGUGUGUCUUGCUUCGUCUCCGAUAAGCAGAGCUUGGGUUGGGUCGGGUCUUGCUUUGUCUCCGCCGUUUUCGCCUCUGCUUCAUAGAUCCGCCGUAUUCGAGAUCCGUCGCCGCUUGUACCUUUCUUCAAAACUCGUCUCGAGAGAAGAGAAGGCAGAAGACGGAGUCGUCUUCUCGAAUCACUCUUCCCUCGUCAAUGGAGACUGACAACUCUCACUCUCAUUCCUCUCCUCAGGAGCUGUGUCUUAGAUCGCAGAGGAAGUCCGUUCUAAAGCUCUGUUGUAUUGCAAGAUGUGGCAGUAGUAGUCACGAACUCAAAACCGGCUGAGAAAUGCUAAGAUAAGACUUUUAUCAAUUCCAUCAUAAGAAGCAGACAAGCUUGCAACGUAGCGUAAUGGUGGGGAACAGGAGUCAACAGUUAGUAUCACGGUGGUUGGAGCAUCUGGUGAUCUUGCUAAGAAGAAAAUAUUCCCAGCCUGUGAAUUUCUUCUUGUGAGAUUUUUUUUUCCCAGUGGUGUUUACAAUGAAUAUCAGAAUAUGGUCGUUGCUCCUGUAGUUUACUGCAAGAAGGUUACUGAGACUUCCAAAACGGUAAUCAUCUAGACUUGGACCUAAUCAUGUUGUGCUUAUGAGCUUUUGAAUCAGUAAGUUUUUGAAUUCUUUCAGGCGAGUGCAUUGUUGAUUAAUGCAUGGCAGAUUCUGGCAUUCUGCUGCUAUUGCAAUCAUGAAAACUGAUCUUGUAAGCAAGAGUGUGGCAGUUGAAUCACAGUUAGGUUUAAGAAACUGAGUUGCAUUAUUUUUCCUGUAAUCUCAUAUAUCUUACAAAGAUCUGAAACUGCUCAGAUUGGAGGAACCACAAUUUGAGUUGGAGGUAUGGCAAAAGGCUCUGGGAUGAUCACAGUGAGUUAAACAUUUCAAACAUUGUUGUAAAGAUAUCGAUUUUUCAUUUACAGGCUCUGGUUUAUGACAAGUAUGGUCUUAUAGGUAGAUGGUGACACGAGUACUAACGGCACAGUCAUUGCUUUGGCGAGCGAACUAUUGGAUCACCUUUUAUAUAUUCUUUGAACUGUAAGGAAGCUGCACAGCUUCAGGCAUGCCUUGAUGCGGUAUGUAUGUCCUUGCCAUCUUUCUAACAGUUGUUCAUAAGAUGGACUUAACAUGGAACUCUUAAACGUAAUAACUCUCAGGUGAUGCAAUGACUUGCCAAAUCAAUAGCUUGGGAUGGUGAAGGCAGUAACAUGUCUGAUAUUGAUAACGAUUUGAUGUUUCAGAUUCUUUGCAGUUCUUUACUUAUGAGGUGUGUUCUUGUGUUUUCAGGUCUGUUGUUUUGUGUGCUCGUUACUGGUGUCAUAACGGAUGCUAUUAAGGAUGCUGUAAGUCGGCCUCGUCCUGGCUUCUUUUGGCGUUGUUUCCCUGAUGGUAGAGGCGUAAGCAGCUCAUCAUUGCUCUUAUUAACACCCUGGAUACUCUCUAUCUAGAUGAUUGAAUUGUUGUGAUUCUCCAUAAAUUUGUAGUUCUUUGACAAUGUCAAAAAGGAUGUUCUAUGUAUUGGAGAUAAAGACGUGGUCAAGGAGGGACACAAGAGCUUCCCCAACCCCACACGUCUUGUUAGUUUUUAUCUUUUUGGGUCUGUUGUGCCAUGAGACAACUUAUCUAAUCGUGUAAUUCAAUGUCAUUAGGAUACGGGUUCUCUGUAUUUUCAGGAAGAGGAAGAUGAGGUUUUCUGUUAUAUUAGUUGGCCUUUGUAUGUAAUUGCUUGCAGGGUUAGAGGCACGGAUGGGUUAAGGCACGGAUGGGAGUUGUAAUAUGUAUUGCAAGUUGAUGUAUAUUUUAGAUGAUAUAAGAAAUAAUAUAUGUUUUAUAAAAUGAAUGAAAUAUAAACUUUUAUUUAUAGAUCUGUUGUUUGUGAGAAAUCUUUAUUUAAUAUUUCAUCAUAAAAUUCAAAGACAACAUAACAAGAAUAUGAUUAAAAAAAAUCUAACACUAAUAUACCUCAAACCAUCUAUCCUAAAGCUCUAAACCCUAAACAUACCCUAAACCUAACUACAUACUUCAAACCCUCUAUCCUAAAUAUAAAUUUCAAGAAUAAUAUUUUAAAGCUUAAAUUUAAAUAUAAAACUCUAAAUUUAAUCAUUUUUGAAAUUUAAUCUCAAAUUAUAUACUUAUUCCCAAAUUCCAAAACCAUAAUUUUAUACGUUAAACUCUUUUCAUAAACCAUAUUCAUUUCAUAUACCCUAAACCCUGAUGUUUGUGGCUUAGCUCCGGUGGACGGUCUUUGGUUGAUAGUCGGAGCCUUACGAGGUCUUCGGAUACCAGGGUUAUCAAAAAAAAAAAAAUCUAAACCUCAAACUUAUAAUAAAAUAUAAAAAAUAAAACUCCAAGUAUAUUCUAAAACUCAAACCAUAUAUUUAAUUCUAAAUCUCAACCUUAAACCCUAAACCACAUAUCUCACAUUAACCUAUAUCAUAAAACAUUAAAUAUUAAUUUUAAAUAAAAUUAAUCAUCUAUCUUUUCGUAAUGAACUUUAUUAGUUUAUUUUUCAAUAAUUUUAUCCUAAAUUUUAACUUAACUACAAUUAUAUUUACACAUUACAAUAGUUGCCAAGAACAAAAGAAUAGAAACUGCAAUAACAAAGAAGGAAAAAAAAAACAAAAACAGAAAUAGAAAAAGCCUCGACCAAUGAGGGUGAAUGGUGAGGAUUACUAAAGUAUUAAUCUCGACCGUUGAUUGAUCUCAAUCCAAUGGAUAUAAUUAAUCGAUUUUUUUCUUUUCUUAUUAACUUCCUGCUCUCUCUCUCUCUCUUCCUCUUCCUCUUCCUCCCCGUCUUGUAUGUUUGCAGAAUUUGUUUUCUCUUUUUCUAAUCUUAGUCUCUUCAUUCCCUUAAUUGUCCGAUAAUAUUUUCUGAUUUGUGUUGACAGAGCAAGCUAGCAGCGGUGGUGGUGUCUGGAAGCUAGUGGCGGCAUGAGAUGGUGGAUGUGGAGCGUACCAUGGAAGACGAUGGCGGAGGAUGGCUCGGCGAGCCAAAGAUUUUCUCAGGGUAUGAGAUCAAGGAGUGAGUCUAAUCUGCGCACUGUGUGCUCAACAAAGAAGCUGUUGAAGGUCGAUGGUGAAGGUCCUUUGUUUCCAAGACUGAGAUGUAGAAGGUUCUUCACUUUCUCUUGCCCUUAAACUGUUCGAUAAUUGCAAUGGAACAUUACUUUAAAGUGUGGAACAUUUUCUUCUUGUGGCUGCAGAUUGAGAUGAGUCGAUUGGAUUGAGAUAUCAUCACCAGCACUGGUCAUCAUCAGAUUGAGAUGCGUCAUUUGGAGACAGAAUAGAGUAAGACAUCGAGAAGAAAGAGGCAAAGGAGGAAGGAGGCGACAACAACAUACCGAUUAGGGUUUAGAGUUAAUUAGGGUGUUCUGGUUUACUUAGUUUUUUAAUUUUGGUUUAGAGUUAAUUAGGGAGGCGACAACAACAUACAGAUUAGGGUUUAGAGUUAAUUAGGGUUAAUUACUAAACCAAUUUGUAACUGUAAACCAAUGUAAUUGUAAACCAAUGUAAUUGUAAACCAAAAUUCAAUUUAUAAAAAUACCAAUUUAUU
This is a long non-coding RNA of Brassica napus (rape), 4445 nucleotides long. RefSeq lists it as uncharacterized. NCBI's taxonomy places the organism in Eukaryota, Viridiplantae, Streptophyta, Magnoliopsida, Brassicales, Brassicaceae. The transcript has 3 exons. The record is from RefSeq and is a predicted model, not a curated record.